This 468-nucleotide ribosomal RNA is filed under the name uncultured bacterium. RNAcentral describes it as "partial 16S ribosomal RNA". It matches the Rfam family "Bacterial small subunit ribosomal RNA", at positions 28 to 507 of the family's 1533-position model. The record is from RNAcentral.
GACGAACGCUGGCGGCGUGCUUAACACAUGCAAGUCGAACGGAAAGGCCCUGCUUUUGUGGGGUGCUCGAGUGGCGAACGGGUGAGUAACACGUGAGUAACCUGCCCUUGACUUUGGGAUAACUUCAGGAAACUGGGGCUAAUACCGGAUAGGAGCUCCUGCUGCAUGGUGGGGGUUGGAAAGUUUCGGCGGUUGGGGAUGGACUCGCGGCUUAUCAGCUUGUUGGUGGGGUAGUGGCUUACCAAGGCUUUGACGGGUAGCCGGCCUGAGAGGGUGACCGGCCACAUUGGGACUUAGAUACGGCCCAGACUCCUACGGGCGGCAGCAGUGGGGAAUAUUGCACAAUGGGCGGAAGCCUGAUGCAGCAACGCCGCGUGCGGGAUGACGGCCUUCGGGUUGUAAACCGCUUUCGCCUGUGACGAAGCGUGAGUGACGGUAAUGGGUAAAGAAGCACCGGCUAACUACGUG